RNAcentral lists this ribosomal RNA (430 nucleotides) under uncultured Alphaproteobacteria bacterium. RNAcentral describes it as "bacterial SSU rRNA". It matches the Rfam family "Bacterial small subunit ribosomal RNA", at positions 958 to 1382 of the family's 1533-position model. Lineage: Bacteria; Pseudomonadati; Pseudomonadota; Alphaproteobacteria. The record is from RNAcentral.
AACGCGCAGAACCUUACCUAGCCCUUCGACGAUCCCGGUCGCGGAUCGCAGAGAUGCUUCUUCAGUUCGGCUGGACCGGUGACAGGUGCUGCAUGGCUGUCGUCAGCUCGUGUCGUGAGAUGUUGGGUUAAGUCCCGCAACGAGCGCAACCCCCGCCUUUCAGUUGCCAACGGUUCGGCCGUGCACGUCUGGAGGAACUGCCUGUGACAAGCAGGAGGAAGGUGGGGAUGACGUCAAGUCCUCAUGGCCCUUAUGGGCUGGGCUACACACGUGCUACAAUGGCGGUGACAGAGGGAUGCAAUACCGCGAGGUGGAGCAAAUCCCUAAAAGCCGUCUCAGUUCGGAUUGUUCUCUGCAACUCGAGAGCAUGAAGUUGGAAUCGCUAGUAAUCGCGGAUCAGCUCGCCGCGGUGAAUACGUUCCCGGGCCUU